UGAGGAAUAUUGGUCAAUGGACGGAAGUCUGAACCAGCCAAGUAGCGUGCAGGAAGACGGCCCUAUGGGUUGUAAACUGCUUUUGUAUGGGGAUAAAGUCAAUCACGUGUCACUGUUUGCAGGUACCAUACGAAUAAGGACCGGCUAAUUCCGUGCCAGCAGCCGCGGUAAUACGGAAGGUUCGGGCGUUAUCCGGAUUUAUUGGGUUUAAAGGGAGCGUAGGCCGGAGAUUAAGUGUGUUGUGAAAUGUAGACGCUCAACGUCUGACUUGCAGCGCAUACUGGUUUCCUUGAGUACGCACAACGUUGGCGGAAUUCGUCGUGUAGCGGUGAAAUGCUUAGAUAUGACGAAGAACUCCGAUUGCGAAAGCAUCUGACGGGAGCGCAACUGACGCUGAAGCUCGAAGGUGCGGGUAUCGAACAGGAUUAGAUACCCUGGUAGUCCGCACAGUAAACGAUGGAUGCCCGCUGUGGGUACCUAAUAGCAUCGGGUAAACGAAAGCAUUAAGCAUCUCACCUGGGGAGUACGCCCGCCACGGUG
This 540-nucleotide ribosomal RNA is filed under the name uncultured bacterium. RNAcentral's name for it is "bacterial SSU rRNA". It matches the Rfam family "Bacterial small subunit ribosomal RNA", at positions 355 to 896 of the family's 1533-position model. The record is from RNAcentral.